This 236-nucleotide unclassified non-coding RNA is filed under the name Hevea brasiliensis (rubber tree). The record is from RNAcentral. Lineage: Eukaryota; Viridiplantae; Streptophyta; Magnoliopsida; Malpighiales; Euphorbiaceae.
UAAUAUUUGUGAGGUAUCACGGAUCACACUCAAACGUUGUUUUCCCAUAUCUGCAAACUCUGAAAAGAGAAGCCAGCAAUUUAACUCAAUAGAAGGCUGACCCCUGUUGUUAUAUGUCCCAUAUCUGCAAAUGCUGAAGUAAAGCUUGUGAUUAUCAAAGUUUGUUAUCUUAUUAAAUGAAUGGUUGGCCGAACCGGUUUUGGCGUCUACAAUCAGUGCUCAGUUUCUUCAUGAUC